Molecule: ribosomal RNA, 2900 nt
Filed under: Escherichia coli
Lineage: Bacteria; Pseudomonadati; Pseudomonadota; Gammaproteobacteria; Enterobacterales; Enterobacteriaceae
Description: bacterial LSU rRNA
Rfam family: Bacterial large subunit ribosomal RNA
Source: RNAcentral
UAAGCGACUAAGCGUACACGGUGGAUGCCCUGGCAGUCAGAGGCGAUGAAGGACGUGCUAAUCUGCGAUAAGCGUCGGUAAGGUGAUAUGAACCGUUAUAACCGGCGAUUUCCGAAUGGGGAAACCCAGUGUGAUUCGUCACACUAUCAUUAACUGAAUCCAUAGGUUAAUGAGGCGAACCGGGGGAACUGAAACAUCUAAGUACCCCGAGGAAAAGAAAUCAACCGAGAUUCCCCCAGUAGCGGCGAGCGAACGGGGAGCAGCCCAGAGCCUGAAUCAGUGUGUGUGUUAGUGGAAGCGUCUGGAAAGGCGCGCGAUACAGGGUGACAGCCCCGUACACAAAAAUGCACAUACUGUGAGCUCGAUGAGUAGGGCGGGACACGUGGUAUCCUGUCUGAAUAUGGGGGGACCAUCCUCCAAGGCUAAAUACUCCUGACUGACCGAUAGUGAACCAGUACCGUGAGGGAAAGGCGAAAAGAACCCCGGCGAGGGGAGUGAAAAAGAACCUGAAACCGUGUACGUACAAGCAGUGGGAGCCUCUUUAUGGGGUGACUGCGUACCUUUUGUAUAAUGGGUCAGCGACUUAUAUUCUGUAGCAAGGUUAACCGAAUAGGGGAGCCGAAGGGAAACCGAGUCUUAACUGGGCGUUAAGUUGCAGGGUAUAGACCCGAAACCCGGUGAUCUAGCCAUGGGCAGGUUGAAGGUUGGGUAACACUAACUGGAGGACCGAACCGACUAAUGUUGAAAAAUUAGCGGAUGACUUGUGGCUGGGGGUGAAAGGCCAAUCAAACCGGGAGAUAGCUGGUUCUCCCCGAAAGCUAUUUAGGUAGCGCCUCGUGAAUUCAUCUCCGGGGGUAGAGCACUGUUUCGGCAAGGGGGUCAUCCCGACUUACCAACCCGAUGCAAACUGCGAAUACCGGAGAAUGUUAUCACGGGAGACACACGGCGGGUGCUAACGUCCGUCGUGAAGAGGGAAACAACCCAGACCGCCAGCUAAGGUCCCAAAGUCAUGGUUAAGUGGGAAACGAUGUGGGAAGGCCCAGACAGCCAGGAUGUUGGCUUAGAAGCAGCCAUCAUUUAAAGAAAGCGUAAUAGCUCACUGGUCGAGUCGGCCUGCGCGGAAGAUGUAACGGGGCUAAACCAUGCACCGAAGCUGCGGCAGCGACACUAUGUGUUGUUGGGUAGGGGAGCGUUCUGUAAGCCUGUGAAGGUGUGCUGUGAGGUAUGCUGGAGGUAUCAGAAGUGCGAAUGCUGACAUAAGUAACGAUAAAGCGGGUGAAAAGCCCGCUCGCCGGAAGACCAAGGGUUCCUGUCCAACGUUAAUCGGGGCAGGGUGAGUCGACCCCUAAGGCGAGGCCGAAAGGCGUAGUCGAUGGGAAACAGGUUAAUAUUCCUGUACUUGGUGUUACUGCGAAGGGGGGACGGAGAAGGCUAUGUUGGCCGGGCGACGGUUGUCCCGGUUUAAGCGUGUAGGCUGGUUUUCCAGGCAAAUCCGGAAAAUCAAGGCUGAGGCGUGAUGACGAGGCACUACGGUGCUGAAGCAACAAAUGCCCUGCUUCCAGGAAAAGCCUCUAAGCAUCAGGUAACAUCAAAUCGUACCCCAAACCGACACAGGUGGUCAGGUAGAGAAUACCAAGGCGCUUGAGAGAACUCGGGUGAAGGAACUAGGCAAAAUGGUGCCGUAACUUCGGGAGAAGGCACGCUGAUAUGUAGGUGAAGUCCCUUGCGGAUGGAGCUGAAAUCAGUCGAAGAUACCAGCUGGCUGCAACUGUUUAUUAAAAACACAGCACUGUGCAAACACGAAAGUGGACGUAUACGGUGUGACGCCUGCCCGGUGCCGGAAGGUUAAUUGAUGGGGUUAGCGGUAACGCGAAGCUCUUGAUCGAAGCCCCGGUAAACGGCGGCCGUAACUAUAACGGUCCUAAGGUAGCGAAAUUCCUUGUCGGGUAAGUUCCGACCUGCACGAAUGGCGUAAUGAUGGCCAGGCUGUCUCCACCCGAGACUCAGUGAAAUUGAACUCGCUGUGAAGAUGCAGUGUACCCGCGGCAAGACGGAAAGACCCCGUGAACCUUUACUAUAGCUUGACACUGAACAUUGAGCCUUGAUGUGUAGGAUAGGUGGGAGGCUUUGAAGUGUGGACGCCAGUCUGCAUGGAGCCGACCUUGAAAUACCACCCUUUAAUGUUUGAUGUUCUAACGUUGGCCCCUGAUCGGGGUUGCGGACAGUGUCUGGUGGGUAGUUUGACUGGGGCGGUCUCCUCCUAAAGAGUAACGGAGGAGCACGAAGGUUGGCUAAUCCUGGUCGGACAUCAGGAGGUUAGUGCAAUGGCAUAAGCCAGCUUGACUGCGAGCGUGACGGCGCGAGCAGGUGCGAAAGCAGGUCAUAGUGAUCCGGUGGUUCUGAAUGGAAGGGCCAUCGCUCAACGGAUAAAAGGUACUCCGGGGAUAACAGGCUGAUACCGCCCAAGAGUUCAUAUCGACGGCGGUGUUUGGCACCUCGAUGUCGGCUCAUCACAUCCUGGGGCUGAAGUAGGUCCCAAGGGUAUGGCUGUUCGCCAUUUAAAGUGGUACGCGAGCUGGGUUUAGAACGUCGUGAGACAGUUCGGUCCCUAUCUGCCGUGGGCGCUGGAGAACUGAGGGGGGCUGCUCCUAGUACGAGAGGACCGGAGUGGACGCAUCACUGGUGUUCGGGUUGUCAUGCCAAUGGCACUGCCCGGUAGCUAAAUGCGGAAGAGAUAAGUGCUGAAAGCAUCUAAGCACGAAACUUGCCCCGAGAUGAGUUCUCCCUGACCCUUUAAGGGUCCUGAAGGAACGUUGAAGACGACGACGUUGAUAGGCCGGGUGUGUAAGCGCAGCGAUGCGUUGAGCUAACCGGUACUAAUGAACCGUGAGGCUUAACCU